CAGCCGCCACGGUAAUACGUAGGGUGCGAGCGUUGUCCGGAAUUACUGGGCGUAAAGAGCUCGUAGGCGGUUUGUCGCGUCGUCUGUGAAAUUCUGCAGCUUAACUGUAGGCGUGCAGGCGAUACGGGCAGACUUGAGUACUACAGGGGAGACUGGAAUUCCUGGUGUAGCGGUGAAAUGCGCAGAUAUCAGGAGGAACACCGGUGGCGAAGGCGGGUCUCUGGGUAGUAACUGACGCUGAGGAGCGAAAGCGUGGGGAGCAAACAGGAUUAGAUACCCCAGUAGUCCCUGUCUCUUAUAC
This 301-nucleotide ribosomal RNA is filed under the name uncultured bacterium. Its description in RNAcentral is "partial 16S ribosomal RNA". It matches the Rfam family "Bacterial small subunit ribosomal RNA", at positions 509 to 807 of the family's 1533-position model. The record is from RNAcentral.